AAGGUGAGGAGGCUGUUGACCAGCAGAGUGGACAUGUUACUGCCUUUGAAGGAGGACUGGUAACACUCAGCUGUAACUACACUACCAGUAGUCCAUCUCCUGAUCUCUUCUGGUACAUCCAGUUAACUAGGGACUCUCCUCAGUAUGUCCUGAGAAGAGAUCGUUAUUCAGGGGGGAGCAAUAGUGAUGAGUUCAAGAAGAGGUUUGAUUCCGGGCUGAAUUUCACAUCUAGCUCUGUCCCCUUGACCAUUCAGAGGUUGCAGCUGUCUGACUCUGCUUUGUACCUCUGUGCUCUGAGGUCCACUGUGACAACAAUAAAUUCAGUCACUGUACAACAACACAGGGUACAGUGUUGUUCAGACAAUGUCACAAGCUUCUCAAUGUUUGACGAUACACAGAAAGAGGAGGAGACAAGGAUUUCAUCAUCUCAUCAUUGCCUAGUUACAUCAGAGUGGUUUUACUCUUCUCCCACUGAUCUCACAGUAACAGGCAUGGAACCCUGGCUGAGGAAUGUACUGAUUCUUGCUGCAUUUUGUUAUGAAUGCAGAGGAGAAGACUCAGUCAUUCAGCCACCAGGAGAUGUGACUGCCACUGAGGGAGGACAGGUCACACUGGACUGUCAAUUUGAUGCAGUUAAUACUAAUAAUCUCUACCUGUUCUGGUACAAGCAUGAAUUACAUGGCUUCCCUAAGUUCAUGCUGGGACUUUUUUCUUUUAGAAGUACAAAUGCCACUGGAUAUGAGGAGAGAUUUUAUUCCCAUCUAGAUAAAGACUCAAAAUCUGUCCCUUUGACGAUCCAGAGGGCGCAGCUGUCUGACUCUGCUGUGUACUACUGUGCUCUGAAGCCCACUGUGACAACAGGAUAUACAGCCCCCCUACAAAUACUAGUGUAGCCUCUGGAGAUGGUGUGACUUCUGACAAGGAGGAGUACACCCCCACUGAGGGAUCAACAGUGUCUCUGAGCUGUACAUA
Non-coding RNA from Oncorhynchus tshawytscha (Chinook salmon), 972 nucleotides. Lineage: Eukaryota; Metazoa; Chordata; Actinopteri; Salmoniformes; Salmonidae. The record is from the annotation of a RefSeq genome assembly.